GUAUUUCCGCCGGCGCGAAACGAGCGUAGCUUCCUUGUCGUGUGGCCUCAGUCCUUCGCCGUCCCUCGCCGUCCUUCGCCAUCGCACGCCACCGCACCCCAUCUCUCGAAAUCUGCAGACAUCUUGAUUUUUCCCACGCUGUCUGUCAGGUCUCCGCCGCCACUCGACGCCAGGGCGCCGGGUGAGUCCACAGCAGGGCGCAUGGUCGGCUCCACUCUCACCAUCGGGGGAAACUGAGGCCCCGGGGAAGGCGGCCAGAGAGGUCAGGCCCUGUCCUUGGUGCAGUGUCUCGUCCUCUUUGCCGGAGUGAGCCCCCCAGGAUUCGCGUGUCCUCGGGAAAGACACUGGCAGGCCUUGUGGGCUGUGCUGCACCUCGGACGGCUUCGCACCAGCCAGCGCCCUCUCUCUCCUGCAGCACUCUGAUCUGCACCCCCUGAGGGGCUUCCACUGUCCGCGGGGUGAGAAUGCCCCUGGGAGUGUCACAUGACUGCCGCCCCAUGUGUGUGAGAGGCGUCCUCUGGGAGAGCAUGGAUCCUGAGGUCCCAGGAUUGUCAGCUGACCUCUGUCCUGUGUGCCCAGUGGCCCCAGGUGACGUGUCUUCAAGAAGAGGCUGAGCUGCGGUGCUUGUAAGGCAGGGUCUCAUUCUGUCACCCAGGCUGGAGUGCAGUGGUGCAAUGAUGGCUCACUGCAGCCUCGACCUGGGCUCAAGUGAUCCUCCACCUCAGCUUCCUGAGUAGCUGGGACCACAGAGUCAUGUGCUGUUCCUGGGGCUUGGAUGAUGUAGGGGAAGCAAGGUGAAAGUGGUAUCCCGUGGUUCCACGUUCUGUCCUGCUGUGGGGCUGUCCCUCACAUGCUUUCAGUGGCUGUUGCAGAGGAAGAGCCUCCGGAAAUCUGCGUGGGUAAAGUGAGCUCCCCGGGGGAACCGUCCUCCUCCCUUGAGCGCUGGUGUGUCCAUAGUGUGCUGUGAUCUGGAUUAGCAGUGAGUUUUUCUUUCAGGGUGUGUGUGUAUGAUGUUAGGACCAUAUGCUCCUGACCUUUUCCAACCCAAAAGCGUUUCCAUUUUUUUAAUGCUGGAAGUGUCUUAACUCCUUUUGGGGUCUUAGAAGGACACACGGUGGCCGUGGCUGGGCCUCUGCUCAGCUGGGCUGCUCUCCCUGCCUCAGGCCCUUGACACCAGCCUCCCUCCCUUGCUGGCUCUCUUUCUGUCCUUCCCUGCUCUUGUAUCCAAAAGUGAUCAUGGGUUGCCUGUGUCCCGAUCAUUAACAGUGCAGGGGUAGGAGUGCUGAAAGACAUCUUCCCUGCGUUGGUCCAGCCUUCCCUUUCAAACCCUGGAGCUUUCCCACGCUGCAGCCUUUUUCCAACUAGGCUUUCAGAGCUUGGGCCUUUGUGGGCCCAUGUGAUGUGGUGACUAGACCCACCCCCUGACUUCUGAGGGUUCAUUUUGUCUUUUCAUGUUAGGGAUCCUCCUGCCAGAAACCAGUCUGCAUUUCUCUCUGGGCCCCACGCUGGAAUGAAUUCAGAUAGCAGUGAAGGGCACACGUGAGAACUGCGAAUCACGGGCUUUGCUUCAUGAAAUGUGAAAUCCACAUUGUUUCCACAGGCACCAUCAGUAAUGUCGAACAAAUGGAGAAAGUUGCAGGUGGGGCUAGGAAAGCUGUAUUCCUGUGGAUUACUCUAGCUGGUCAUUUGCCCCGAUUGUGAACUGCUUGAAAGAAAAACGAAACUUCUAAGAUGUUUGUCCUUUCAUGUCCUUUCUGUUGGGAUUUUUUAUUUGGUGUGCGUGAAUGAGGAGCUUCGCCCUGCUUGAAUGGGACCCCUCUCAGUGGUGUCAGCUUGGGGAGGAGGAGAUGGCCCUGGAGACUAAAUACUUGUAUGCUUUCUUACCCUCUUAGGUCUCAGCCUUAGAUCCAAGGACAGUCCAAGGAAGUCCUAAGACCAUGGAGUUGGUGAUCUGGGAUCUGGGUUUGCUGAUAUUUCUCACCGUGAAUCUCUUGGUGGUGUUUGUGGGCACGAGAGGGGCAGAGAAUGGAGAGUGAGGCUACCACAUGAAGCGUCACCAGAGCUGCUCCCUGCUGCCUGCUCAGAGCACCCCGGAUCCACUGUUCAAUCUGCACAAGAUUCGGGGUCCAGACAUGGGAGACUUCAGCUGCCUCAGAGGACCGUGGACAGGGAAGGCCAGCCUCGCAUCCCUCUGUCCAUGCCUGGAAUGACUUUAAUAACCAAGAGUUUUAUUUUUGAAUUUGUAGCUGUCGUUCACUUUUUACCCACCCAUUCAAUAAACCUUACAGAAUUGC
Long non-coding RNA from Homo sapiens (human), 2294 nucleotides. Ensembl annotates it as small nucleolar RNA host gene 17. Its record names the gene SNHG17. The record is from Ensembl. Lineage: Eukaryota; Metazoa; Chordata; Mammalia; Primates; Hominidae.